This 1395-nucleotide long non-coding RNA is filed under the name Oreochromis niloticus (Nile tilapia). RNAcentral's name for it is "lncRNA (ENSONIG00000042544.1)". Lineage: Eukaryota; Metazoa; Chordata; Actinopteri; Cichliformes; Cichlidae. The record is from RNAcentral.
AUGGCGGCGCACAUAGUUGCAGCAGCUCAGUGUUCCACCGAUCUAUGCUAUGUUUGGAUAAUUUUGUACGCCUUAUGUUUGUUUUUGUGUUCUACCAGUCAAGCGAAUAACAUCUACAGCCGACAUGAUCUCCUCAAGAUUGGAGUAAGUUACCGCGAGAGCGUGACCAGCAAAUUUGUCCGCUCACACAAGAUACCGGUGGAAAUAGCGAGGAGUCCGGGCUCCCCAUGGAUUGUUAUCCCUUCGGGGUUGAGGCUAGCAGGCUACACCACACAGCAACAGGACCGAACAGUGGACUCCGGUAAGCGCAAAGGAGGGGGGCUCUGUAUGUAUGUGAACAACAGCUGGUGUACCAACACAGUGAUAACAGACCGUCACUGUUCACCGGACAUUGAAUAUCUGACUGUCAAAUGCAGGCCCGUCUACCUACCUAGGGAGUUCACCGUUGUCAUAAUAACAGCUGUUUACAUACCACCUGAUGCUAAUGCUAACUCGGCGAUCGCACUCCUGCACACAAACAUCAAUAAUAAACAGAGCAUUUACCCUGACGCUGUACAUAUCGUAGCAGGAGACUUUAAUCAUGCAGACUUAAAAACAGCAAUCCCAAAAUUCCACCAGCACGUCAAGUGUGCCACUAGGGGUGACAAGAUUCUGGAAAAAGUUUAUUCCAACAUCAAAAUGGGCUACAGGGCCAGACCUUUGCCACAUCUGGGUCAGUCUGACCACUUGUCACUGUUCCUAAUCCCUGCAUUUGCCCCCCUCAAGAAAACUGCUCCUACCAUCACAAAGACUGUUACCAUAUGGCCAGAGGGCGCCUCUCAGCAGCUGCAGGACUGUUUUGACAGGACUAACUGGGAUAUCUUUGAACAUCAGGACUUGGAAAUGUUCACAGACUGUGUUAUAAAACACUGCAUAGACACUGUUACAGCAGUCAAAUGUAUCCAGGCUUAUCCCAACCAAAAGCCCUGGAUGACCCGGGAGGUCAGGCAGCUGCUGAAGCAGAGGAACACCACGUUCAGGACUGGCAACAGGGAUCAGUACACCACAGCCCGAUCCAACCUGAAGAGAUGCAUCAGAGAGGCGAAGGGGGACUAUAGGAGGAGGAUUGAGGACCAUCUGAAGAGUAACACCAGCCGGCAGGUGUGGCAAGGCAUCCAGCACCUAACCAACUAUAAGAUCAAUCUCGGAGCUGCGGACGGUGACCUGGAGCUGGCAGAGGAGCUGAAUAUCUUCUUCGCCCGCUUUGAGACCAUGGUACCGGAGGUAUUGGAGCCACAGCAGCAACACGCCACCCACAGCAACACCACCCUCACCCUGGAAGAGCACGAGGGGAGGCGCAUGCUGCAGGCUGUUAACCCGAGGAAGGCGGCUGGUCCUGAUGGUGUGCCAGGUUGA